AGCUUUGUGCAGUGGCAGUAUCGUAGCCAAUGAGGCUUAUCCAAGGCGUGAUUAUUGCUAACUGAAAACAGAAAUUAUUUGUGUGACAAGUUAAAUAGCCUUCUAGAAC
Molecule: small nuclear RNA, 109 nt
Filed under: Canis lupus dingo (dingo)
Lineage: Eukaryota; Metazoa; Chordata; Mammalia; Carnivora; Canidae
Description: U4 spliceosomal RNA (ENSCAFG00020011377.1)
Rfam family: U4 spliceosomal RNA (bases 1-80)
About the family: U4 small nuclear RNA (U4 snRNA) is a component of the major U2-dependent spliceosome.
Source: RNAcentral